GACAAUAUGAUAUAAUGGUUUGAGUGUUGGACUAUGACUCUGGAGUCUAGGGUUCAAUUCCCUGCUUGGCCA
Phrynosoma platyrhinos (Desert horned lizard) is the source of this 72-nucleotide non-coding RNA. The record is from the annotation of a GenBank genome assembly. Lineage: Eukaryota; Metazoa; Chordata; Lepidosauria; Squamata; Phrynosomatidae.